RNAcentral lists this ribosomal RNA (229 nucleotides) under uncultured bacterium. Its description in RNAcentral is "partial 16S ribosomal RNA". It matches the Rfam family "Bacterial small subunit ribosomal RNA", at positions 568 to 796 of the family's 1533-position model. The record is from RNAcentral.
UCCGUAGGUGGAUAAUUAAGUCAGAGGUGAAAGUUUGCAGCUCAACUGUACAAUUGCCUUUGAUACUGGUUAUCUUGAAUCAUUAUGAAGUAGUUAGAAUAUGUAGUGUAGCGGUGAAAUGCAUAGAUAUUACAUAGAAUACCAAUUGCGAAGGCAGAUUACUAAUAAUGUAUUGACACUGAUGGACGAAAGCGUAGGUAGCGAACAGGAUUAGAUACCCUGGUAGUCC